UACGAAGGUGGCAAGCGUUGUCCGGAAUUAUUGGGCGUAAAGCGUGCGUAGGCGGUCUAUUAAGUCUGAUUUGAAAGCCCAUGGCUUAACCAUGGAGGGUGAUUGGAAACUGGUAGACUUGAGUACAGGAGAGGAAGGUGGAAUUCCACGUGUAGCGGUGAAAUGCGUAGAUAUGUGGAGGAACACCAGUGGCGAAGGCGGCCUUCUGGCCUGUGUCUGACGCUGAUGCACGAAAGCGUGGGUAGCAAACAGG
RNAcentral lists this ribosomal RNA (253 nucleotides) under uncultured bacterium. Its description in RNAcentral is "partial 16S ribosomal RNA". It matches the Rfam family "Bacterial small subunit ribosomal RNA", at positions 524 to 776 of the family's 1533-position model. The record is from RNAcentral.